UAAGAGGUCACGCCUGCCCGGUGACAUACAAGUUUAACGGCCGCGGUAUCCUAACCGUGCAAAGGUAGCGCAAUCACUUGUCUUUUAAAUGAAGACCAGUAUGAACGGCACAACGAGGGCUACACUGUCUCCUUUCUCUAGUCAGUGAAAUUGAUCUCCCCGUGCAGAAGCGGGGAUAUACAUAUAAGACGAGAAGACCCUGUGGAGCUUUAGAUGUAAAAGUAGACUAAAUUAAUUUAAUACUAACAACAGAAACAAACAAAUUAGAUACUACUUAGAUAUCUUUGGUUGGGGCGACCCUGGGGAAAAAAAGAACCCCCAUGUGGACUGGGAUACUUUCCUAAAAGCUAGAACCCUUAUUCUAACUAACAGAAAUUCUGACCUUAUGAUCCGGCAAAGCCGAUUAACAGACCAAGUUACCCCAGGGAUAACAGCGCAAUCCUCUUUUAGAGUCCCUAUCGACAAGAGGGUUUACGACCUCGAUGUUGGAUCAGGACAUCCUAAUGGUGCAGCCGCUAUUAAGGGUUCGUUUGUUCAACG
Molecule: ribosomal RNA, 540 nt
Filed under: Draconetta xenica
Lineage: Eukaryota; Metazoa; Chordata; Actinopteri; Syngnathiformes; Draconettidae
Description: partial 16S large subunit ribosomal RNA
Rfam family: Bacterial large subunit ribosomal RNA
Source: RNAcentral